RNAcentral lists this transfer RNA (76 nucleotides) under Dehalococcoidia bacterium. RNAcentral describes it as "tRNA-Thr". It matches the Rfam family "tRNA". From Rfam's summary of the family: Transfer RNA (tRNA) molecules are approximately 80 nucleotides in length. Their secondary structure includes four short double-helical elements and three loops (D, anti-codon, and T loops). Further hydrogen bonds mediate the characteristic L-shaped molecular structure. tRNAs have two regions of fundamental functional importance: the anti-codon, which is responsible for specific mRNA codon recognition, and the 3' end, to which the tRNAs corresponding amino acid is attached (by aminoacyl-tRNA synthetases). tRNAs cope with the degeneracy of the genetic code in two manners: having more than one tRNA (with a specific anti-codon) for a particular amino acid; and 'wobble' base-pairing, i.e. permitting non-standard base-pairing at the 3rd anti-codon position. The record is from RNAcentral. Lineage: Bacteria; Bacillati; Chloroflexota; Dehalococcoidia.
GCCGGCGUAGCUCAACGGGCAGAGCAGCCGCCUUGUAAGCGGCAGGUUGGGGGUUCGAGUCCCCCCGUCGGCUCCG